This 1067-nucleotide ribosomal RNA is filed under the name Salmonella enterica subsp. enterica serovar Oranienburg. RNAcentral's name for it is "partial 23S ribosomal RNA". It matches the Rfam family "Bacterial large subunit ribosomal RNA", at positions 161 to 1266 of the family's 2925-position model. The record is from RNAcentral. Lineage: Bacteria; Pseudomonadati; Pseudomonadota; Gammaproteobacteria; Enterobacterales; Enterobacteriaceae.
AAUCCAUAGGUUAAUGAGGCGAACCGGGGGAACUGAAACAUCUAAGUACCCCGAGGAAAAGAAAUCAACCGAGAUUCCCCCAGUAGCGGCGAGCGAACGGGGAGGAGCCCAGAGCCUGAAUCAGCAUGUGUGUUAGUGGAAGCGUCUGGAAAGGCGCGCGAUACAGGGUGACAGCCCCGUACACAAAAGCGCAUGUGCUGUGAGCUCGAUGAGUAGGGCGGGACACGUGGUAUCCUGUCUGAAUAUGGGGGGACCAUCCUCCAAGGCUAAAUACUCCUGACUGACCGAUAGUGAACCAGUACCGUGAGGGAAAGGCGAAAAGAACCCCGGCGAGGGGAGUGAAAAAGAACCUGAAACCGUGUACGUACAAGCAGUGGGAGCACCCUUUGGGGUGUGACUGCGUACCUUUUGUAUAAUGGGUCAGCGACUUAUAUUCUGUAGCAAGGUUAACCGUAUAGGGGAGCCGGAGGGAAACCGAGUCUUAACCGGGCGUUAAGUUGCAGGGUAUAGACCCGAAACCCGGUGAUCUAGCCAUGGGCAGGUUGAAGGUUGGGUAACACUAACUGGAGGACCGAACCGACUAAUGUUGAAAAAUUAGCGGAUGACCUGUGGCUGGGGGUGAAAGGCCAAUCAAACCGGGAGAUAGCUGGUUCUCCCCGAAAGCUAUUUAGGUAGCGCCUCGUGAAUUCAUCUCCGGGGGUAGAGCACUGUUUCGGCUAGGGGGCCAUCCCGGCUUACCAACCCGAUGCAAACUGCGAAUACCGGAGAAUGUUAUCACGGGAGACACACGGCGGGUGCUAACGUCCGUCGUGAAGAGGGAAACAACCCAGACCGCCAGCUAAGGUCCCAAAGUCAUGGUUAAGUGGGAAACGAUGUGGGAAGGCCCAGACAGCCAGGAUGUUGGCUUAGAAGCAGCCAUCAUUUAAAGAAAGCGUAAUAGCUCACUGGUCGAGUCGGCCUGCGCGGAAGAUGUAACGGGGCUAAACCAUGCACCGAAGCUGCGGCAGCGACACUCAGGUGUUGUUGGGUAGGGGAGCGUUCUGUAAGCCUGUGAAGGUGGCCUGUGA